This is a non-coding RNA of Ameiurus melas (black bullhead), 73 nucleotides long. Lineage: Eukaryota; Metazoa; Chordata; Actinopteri; Siluriformes; Ictaluridae. The record is from the annotation of a GenBank genome assembly.
GGCACGGUGGCUUAGUGGUUAGCGCGUUUGCCUUGCACCUCCAUGGUUGGGGGUUAAAAUCCUGCCUCCGCCC